GAUCAUGGCUCAGAACGAACGCUGGCGGUAUGCUUAACACAUGCAAGUCGAACGAAUGAGAUCCUAGCUUGCUAGGAUUAAGUUAGUGGCAAACGGGUGAGUAACACGUGGGAAUCUACCCAGUAGUACGGGAUAACAGUUGGAAACGAUUGCUAAUACCGUAUGGUAUCGAGAGAUUAAAGAUUUAUCGCUACUGGAUGAGCCCGCGUCAGAUUAGGUUGUUGGUGGGGUAAUGGCCUACCAAGCCUGAGAUCUGUAGCUGGUCUGAGAGGAUGAUCAGCCACACUGGAACUGAGACACGGUCCAGACUCCUACGGGAGGCAGCAGUGAGGAAUAUUGGACAAUGGGCGAAAGCCUGAUCCAGCAAUACCGCGUGAGUGAAGAAGGCCUUAGGGUUGUAAAGCUCUUUCAGCAGGGAAAAAAAUGAUGGUACCUGCAGAAGAAGUCCCGGCUAACUCCGUGCCAGCAGCCGCGGUAAUACGGAGGGGACUAGCGUUGUUCGGAUUUACUGGGCGUAAAGGGUGCGUAGGCGGUUUAGUAAGUUAGAAGUGAAAGCCCAGGGCUUAACCCUGGAACUGCUUCUAAAACUAUU
This 592-nucleotide ribosomal RNA is filed under the name uncultured bacterium. RNAcentral's name for it is "bacterial SSU rRNA". It matches the Rfam family "Bacterial small subunit ribosomal RNA", at positions 15 to 637 of the family's 1533-position model. The record is from RNAcentral.